This is a non-coding RNA of Phrynosoma platyrhinos (Desert horned lizard), 71 nucleotides long. The record is from the annotation of a GenBank genome assembly. NCBI's taxonomy places the organism in Eukaryota, Metazoa, Chordata, Lepidosauria, Squamata, Phrynosomatidae.
GCCAGCAUAGCAUAGUGGCUGAGUGUUGGACUAUAAUUCUGGAGACCAGGGUUCGAUUCCCAGCUUGGUCA